AGCAGCCGCGGUAAUUCCAGCUCCAAUAGCGUAUAUUAAAGUUGUUGCAGUUAAAAAGCUCGUAGUUGAACCUUAGGCCCGUGCGGGUGGUCCGUCCUCUGGGCGAGCACUGCCUCGUCGCGGGUCUCACCUUCUGGUGAGCGUGGAUGCCAUUCACUUGGUGUCUGCGGGAACCAGGACCUUUACCUUGAAAAAAUUAGAGUGCUCAAAGCGGGCUCGUACGCUUGAAUACAUUAGCAUGGAAUAAUGAAAUAGGACGACGGUUCUAUUUUGUUGGUUUCCGGGACAGUCGUAAUGAUUAAUAGGGAUAGUUGGGGGCAUUCGUAUUCAAUUGUCAGAGGUGAAAUUCUUGGAUUUAUUGAAGACGGACUACUGCGAAAGCAUUUGCCAAGGAUGUUUUCAUUAAUCAAGAACGAAAGUUGGGGGAUCGAAGACGAUCAGAUACCGUCGUAGUCUCAACCAUAAACUAUGCCGACUGGGAAUCGGGCGAUGUUAUUUUUCGUGACUCGCUCGGCGCCCC
RNAcentral lists this ribosomal RNA (520 nucleotides) under uncultured Paraglomus. RNAcentral's name for it is "bacterial SSU rRNA". It matches the Rfam family "Eukaryotic small subunit ribosomal RNA", at positions 569 to 1089 of the family's 1831-position model. The record is from RNAcentral. Lineage: Eukaryota; Fungi; Glomeromycota; Glomeromycetes; Paraglomerales; Paraglomeraceae.